GACGGCGUAGCUCAGUUGGAAGAGCAUUGGGCUAGUAUUCCAAAGGUCGUAGGUUCGAAUCCCACCGUGGCCG
Molecule: transfer RNA, 73 nt
Filed under: Paramuricea clavata
Lineage: Eukaryota; Metazoa; Cnidaria; Anthozoa; Malacalcyonacea; Plexauridae
Rfam family: tRNA
About the family: Transfer RNA (tRNA) molecules are approximately 80 nucleotides in length. Their secondary structure includes four short double-helical elements and three loops (D, anti-codon, and T loops).
Source: Rfam by way of RNAcentral